UACGUAGGGGGCUAGCGUUGUCCGGAUUUAUUGGGCGUAAAGAGCGUGUAGGCGGCCAGGUAGGUCCGUUGUGAAAACUAGAGGCUCAACCUCUAGACGUCGACCGAAACCACUUGGCUAGAGUCCGGAAGAGGAGAGUGGAAUUCCUGGUGUAGCGGUGAAAUGCGCAGAUAUCAGGAAGAACACCCGUGGCGAAGGCGGCUCUCUGGGACGGUACUGACGCUGAGACGCGAAAGCGUGGGGAGCGAACAGG
Molecule: ribosomal RNA, 253 nt
Filed under: uncultured bacterium
Lineage: Bacteria
Description: partial 16S ribosomal RNA
Rfam family: Bacterial small subunit ribosomal RNA
Source: RNAcentral